UUUAGCUGGACUCAGUUGACCUUGACUGGGAGUGAACUCAGCCAAGCUCUGCUACUUCCAAUGUGUCACAGCCGAAUUAUGGAGAGGGAAGAAGCUUGUGCCACUAUAGCCUGCUAAUACUGGGCAGAGGAGUCUGCUACAUCUGAGGGCCUGUCUACUUGUCCAGCAAGACUACAGAAGGACCUGAUGAUCUUGUACAGAUAUCACAUAAAUUCCUCUGUGCUUGAAUGUUGCCUCCUCCUUCCUAAUCUGCUCUACUUCUUCCUUCUCAUAGAAAACCUGCUAUAAAUAAACUACCUGAUAUUUCACAUCCCCUA
Heterocephalus glaber (naked mole-rat) is the source of this 317-nucleotide non-coding RNA. The record is from RefSeq and is a predicted model, not a curated record. Lineage: Eukaryota; Metazoa; Chordata; Mammalia; Rodentia; Bathyergidae.